GCGCGGUGGCGCGCACCUGUAGUCCCAGCUACUCGGGAGGCUGAGGCUGGAGGAUCGCUUGAGCCCAGGAGACAGGAAAGAGCCGCUUGUAGGGGA
This is a long non-coding RNA of Myotis davidii, 96 nucleotides long. RefSeq lists it as uncharacterized. NCBI's taxonomy places the organism in Eukaryota, Metazoa, Chordata, Mammalia, Chiroptera, Vespertilionidae. The transcript is spliced from 3 exons. The record is from RefSeq and is a predicted model, not a curated record.